RNAcentral lists this unclassified non-coding RNA (339 nucleotides) under soil metagenome. RNAcentral's name for it is "partial contains 5.8S ribosomal RNA, internal transcribed spacer 2, and large subunit ribosomal RNA". The stretch from base 1 to 120 matches the Rfam family "5.8S ribosomal RNA", at positions 35 to 154 of the family's 154-position model. The record is from RNAcentral.
GAUGAAGAACGUAGCGAAAUGUGAUACGUAGUGUGAAUUGCAGAAUUCAGUGAAUCAUCGAAUCUUUGAACGCACAUUGCGCCCGCCAGUAUUCUGGCGGGCAUGCCUGUCCGAGCGUCAUUUCAACCAUCAAGCCCCCGGGCUUGUGUUGGGGACCUGCGGCUGCCCGCAGGCCCUGAAAACCAGUGGCGGGCUCGCUGUCACACCGAGCGUAGUAGCAAUCACCUCGCUCAGGGCGUGCUGCGGGUUCCGGCCGUUAAACAGCCUUACAAAACCCAAGGUUGACCUCGGAUCAGGUAGGAAGACCCGCUGAACUUAAGCAUAUCAAUAAGCGGAGGA